UACGUAGGGUGCAAGCGUUAAUCGGAAUUACUGGGCGUAAAGCGUGCGCAGGCGGUUUUGUAAGUCAGAUGUGAAAUCCCCGGGCUUAACCUGGGAACUGCGUUUGAAACUACAAGGCUAGAGUGUAGCAGAGGGGGGUGGAAUUCCACGUGUAGCAGUGAAAUGCGUAGAGAUGUGGAGGAACACCGAUGGCGAAGGCAGCCCCCUGGGUUAACACUGACGCUCAGGCACGAAAGCGUGGGGAGCAAACAGGAUUAGAAACCCCCGUAGUCC
RNAcentral lists this ribosomal RNA (273 nucleotides) under uncultured bacterium. Its description in RNAcentral is "partial 16S ribosomal RNA". It matches the Rfam family "Bacterial small subunit ribosomal RNA", at positions 524 to 796 of the family's 1533-position model. The record is from RNAcentral.